Molecule: long non-coding RNA, 1912 nt
Organism: Bicyclus anynana (squinting bush brown)
Lineage: Eukaryota; Metazoa; Arthropoda; Insecta; Lepidoptera; Nymphalidae
Exons: 5
Source: RefSeq, a predicted model, not a curated record
AUGAUCAUACAACUGGGUGACACAGAAGUUGUCAAAGUCAAUCGCUAUAGAAACUAAUACCGAGCAGUGUUUUAAUAAAGUUUACUUGACGCCUGUGAUUCAAUAAUUACAAAUAAAAGUACUUUUAGGAUUUUUUUGAAUUUUGUACUAUACCUUGUAAGUAAGGUAUUAGUUUGUAAGUCAAUAAAAUCAGAAUUAGAAAAGUUUUUCAUGUAAAAUAUGACGAAAGUUGAGAAUAUAUAGUAGGUACCUACCUACAUACUUAUUUCAUAAAGCAGAAUUACAGUUUUAGAGUUAGUUGAAGUGAAUUUAAUUAAUUGUGUUAUUUUUGUAGUGUUUACCGACAUUGCCAUGUACAAUACAAUGCAUGUAGCAUUUGUAUUGUACGCGGAAACGGAACGAAAAAGAUGUCUUUGUCGAGUUCAUUGCAAAACUUUCGUGUCGCGAUACCAGCAGGUUUUAGAAGAAAUACAAAGUCUUCGAACAACUGCUGUUCGCAAUGAAUUAGAGAUAAGUAAGUUAUAUGAAUGAAUGAAGGAAUUUUCUUCAUUCUCUGCGUUGAGCUAGUGACGUGGACUAUGGGCCUAACCCCUCUCAUUCUGAGAGGAGACUCGAGCUCAGCAGUGAGCCGAAUAUGGUAUUUUUAUAUGGUCUUGGCAGCUUUAAACUUUUAUGCCAAUGGAUCAUACAAAUGGCUUUGUGAUGGCUAAGGCAUCUUUUAGCAAAUGCCUACAUGAAGUCGCUGACUCUCCUGAAUACCCCAGCUGUUUAAAAAAAAUGUGUUAAGUUCCCUUUGCAUUAAACACAAAAUAAGUAAAUAAAUAUGUGAUGCCAAUCUAAUAAUAACAUAGUGGAUGCUCAAUUUGGUGGUGCAUCUUAUGACUUGUACAUAUGGAACCAGUGCAAUAAGACCACUUGAGGAAAACCUGCCCAAUAGGGACCGCUGUUGGUUGUUAGGUGACCAAUGUUUGCAUGAUGACCCCUAUCUUGGGAGCUGCUCCUAGAUCCCAUGAAGAUAUGCACAACAUUGCUGUGUCAGAAAUACGGUGGAGCCUUGUAGUUGGGUGCAUAUUGUAAAAUGUUUCCUCACUCCAAAACCAUGAACUCUGGUUUUCUAAACCCUCAAGCUAUGCAGCCGAAGGAGGAGACUUAUCACAGGAGAAUCACUAAUAAUUUUGAAGAAGUGAAGAGCUUAACAAUGUUUCAACCAACACCUAAAGAAGCUUUCACUUGGCUGUUAGAUCAAGGGCUGGAUACAGAAAACAGUAAUCCUUGUGAUGGCAGUAUUGUCCAAGGAUUCCUCACUCAAAACCAUGAUAACAAGUUGCUAGAACCCUCAAGCUAUGCAGACAAAGGACUGGAUAUAUUUUUUCGUGACCAAGCCUUCUGUAUAAUUAUUUAUACUUAAACCAUACAAAGCACUAUCUAGCCCCAAAGUAGGCAUACAGAGUAGCUUGUGUUGUGGGUACUAAGAUAGUUGAUAUUAUAAUAUUCAUUUACAUUUAUAUACUACCUAUAAAUACUUAUAUAAUGUAUAAAUACACACACACUGGAAAAAACCCAUGCUCUUCACACAAAUAUUUUCCAGGUGUGGGAAUCGAACCCAUGACCGUGGAUGCAGGAGCACUACUUACUGCGCCACGCGUAUGUGUUUUUAUUUUGAAGCAAGUUAUUAAAGUUGAUAAUUCAAAUUGUAGUCAUGUUUUUAAUUAAUCUAUAAUUAAUUUUUAAUUUACAUUUUUGUUAAAUAUUUACCUAUACUUCAGUCUAUUUUUGUUAGAGGGGGUACCUAUAUGUGUAAGUAGGGUCGUUUCUUGAUUAAAUUAAACUAAAGAAUGAAAGAUAUAUAUUAUAACAAAAUUUGUCAACAACAAUAUAUCAAGUCUGAAUAAAAAAUACCAACACAAGUAAA